This 71-nucleotide transfer RNA is filed under the name Candidatus Palauibacterales bacterium. RNAcentral's name for it is "tRNA-Cys". It matches the Rfam family "tRNA". From Rfam's summary of the family: Transfer RNA (tRNA) molecules are approximately 80 nucleotides in length. Their secondary structure includes four short double-helical elements and three loops (D, anti-codon, and T loops). Further hydrogen bonds mediate the characteristic L-shaped molecular structure. tRNAs have two regions of fundamental functional importance: the anti-codon, which is responsible for specific mRNA codon recognition, and the 3' end, to which the tRNAs corresponding amino acid is attached (by aminoacyl-tRNA synthetases). tRNAs cope with the degeneracy of the genetic code in two manners: having more than one tRNA (with a specific anti-codon) for a particular amino acid; and 'wobble' base-pairing, i.e. permitting non-standard base-pairing at the 3rd anti-codon position. Lineage: Bacteria; Pseudomonadati; Gemmatimonadota; Gemmatimonadia; Candidatus Palauibacterales. The record is from RNAcentral.
GGUUCCGUGGCCGAGUGGCUAGGCAGGGGCCUGCAAAGCCCCCUACGGUGGUUCGAGUCCACCCGGAACCU